ACUCAAAUGAAUUGACGGGGGCCCGCACAAGCGGUGGAGCAUGUGGUUCAAUUCGACGCAACGCGCAGAACCUUACCUGGGUUAAAUCCACCAGAACCUUGCAGAGAUGCGGGGGUGCCCUUCGGGGAACUGGUGAGAAGGUGCUGCAUGGCUGUCGUCAGCUCGUGUCGUGAGAUGUUGGGUUAAGUCCCGCAACGAGCGCAACCUCUGUCGUUAGUUGCCAGCAUUAAGUUGGGCACUCUAACGAGACUGCCGCCGUCAAGGCGGAGGAAGGCGGAGAUGACGUCAAGUCCUCAUGGCCCUUAUGUCCAGGGCUACACACGUGCUACAAUGGGCACUACAAAGGGUUGCAAAGCCGCGAGGUGGAGCCAAUCUCAAAAAAGUGUCCUCAGUUCGGAUUGCAGUCUGCAACUCGACUGCAUGAAGCUGGAAUCGCUAGUAAUCCCUGAUCAGCAGGCAGGGGUGAAUACGUUCCCGGGCCUUGCACACACCGCCCGU
This 498-nucleotide ribosomal RNA is filed under the name uncultured bacterium. RNAcentral's name for it is "partial 16S ribosomal RNA". It matches the Rfam family "Bacterial small subunit ribosomal RNA", at positions 899 to 1397 of the family's 1533-position model. The record is from RNAcentral.